AGAGCCUACGAAAAUAAAUCGUUUGAGAUCAAACUGUAAUUAUUUUAUCUAAGUAGCAUUACCUUUUGGAACAGGUCCCGGUAUAAAUUUUGUUUCGUCAUAGUCUGGAUUGGGGUUUGUGUAAAUAGUCAAGUUUGGAAUAAACCACAGACAGCCGUUCUCUAAAGUUACAUCUUCCAACGCGAACCACAUGCCGACUAUCUUCAUGGGUU
Molecule: long non-coding RNA, 212 nt
Organism: Daphnia pulicaria
Lineage: Eukaryota; Metazoa; Arthropoda; Branchiopoda; Diplostraca; Daphniidae
Exons: 2
Source: RefSeq, a predicted model, not a curated record